AUACGGAGGGUGCAAGCGUUAUCCGGAAUCAUUGGGUUUAAAGGGUCCGCAGGCGGAUUAAUAAGCCAGUGGUGAAAUCCUCUCGCUCAACGAGAGAACUGCCAUUGAAACUGUUAGUCUUGAAUUCGGUCGAAGUAGGCGGAAUGUGUCAUGUAGCGGUGAAAUGCAUAGAUAUGACACAGAACACCGAUAGCGAAGGCAGCUUACUAGACCUGGAUUGACGCUCAUGGACGAAAGCGUGGGGAGCGAACAGGAUUAGAAACCCUAGUAGUCC
RNAcentral lists this ribosomal RNA (274 nucleotides) under uncultured bacterium. RNAcentral describes it as "partial 16S ribosomal RNA". It matches the Rfam family "Bacterial small subunit ribosomal RNA", at positions 523 to 796 of the family's 1533-position model. The record is from RNAcentral.